GACGAACGCUGGCGGCGUGCCUAAUACAUGCAAGUAGAACGCUGAAGAGAGGAGCUUGCUCUUCUUGGAUGAGUUGCGAACGGGUGAGUAACGCGUAGGUAACCUGCCUUGUAGCGGGGGAUAACUAUUGGAAACGAUAGCUAAUACCGCAUAACAAUGGAUGACACAUGUCAUUUAUUUGAAAGGGGCAAUUGCUCCACUACAAGAUGGACCUGCGUUGUAUUAGCUAGUAGGUGAGGUAAUGGCUCACCUAGGCGACGAUACAUAGCCGAACUGAGAGGGUGAUCGGCCACACUGGGACUGAGACACGGCCCAGACUCCUACGGGAGGCAGCAGUAGGGAAUCUUCGGCAAUGGGGGCAACCCUGACCGAGCCACGCCGCGUGAGUGAAGAAGGUUUUCGGAUCGUAAAGCUCUGUUGUAAGUCAAGAACGGGUGUGAGAGUGGAAAGUUCACACUGUGACGGUAGCUUACCAGAAAGGGACGGCUAACUACGUG
This 497-nucleotide ribosomal RNA is filed under the name uncultured bacterium. Its description in RNAcentral is "partial 16S ribosomal RNA". It matches the Rfam family "Bacterial small subunit ribosomal RNA", at positions 28 to 507 of the family's 1533-position model. The record is from RNAcentral.